GACGAAGUCCGGAAGAAGUUCAGAGUAGAGAUCCAGUGGAACCUAUCCGUCGUAGAAGUUCAUCUGUGGUCCAUCCACUGUAGAAGUUCGAACGGAGUCCGGUUCUUGUAGGAGCUCGGAUGAAAUUUGAAUGGCGAUCAACCACCGUAGAAACUUGGAUGGAGUCUGAUUACUGUAGAGGUCCUGCUAUCGGAGAAGCUCGGAAAGCAUUUGGAGCAG
This 219-nucleotide long non-coding RNA is filed under the name Elaeis guineensis (African oil palm). RNAcentral's name for it is "long non-coding RNA (EGUI_LNC036178)". Lineage: Eukaryota; Viridiplantae; Streptophyta; Magnoliopsida; Arecales; Arecaceae. The record is from RNAcentral.